Molecule: long non-coding RNA, 627 nt
Filed under: Homo sapiens (human)
Lineage: Eukaryota; Metazoa; Chordata; Mammalia; Primates; Hominidae
Description: novel transcript
Source: RNAcentral
AGAAAAGCUUAGACAUUCAUAGGAAUAAGACCUCCAGCUAUUUAUGGGUUGAUUACAAGCUCAGUAUGAUUCAAUUGAUGAUUAGAUAGUAGACAUCACCUGUUACGAUUGGAGCCCUGUGGCCAAGAGGACGCCUGUGAACUAUUUCACCUGAUUAGGCCACGCUGGGAUUUUUUGCUUGGGUGAGAGGUCGUGCUUCCCCAGGACACGGGCAGCAGCCUGGAGAGAGGAGUCUCAGAGGGUAACCCUGCUCUUCUCAAAUAUGGAAAGCUCCUAUGUGGAAGGGCAGUGAGUGGGAUUUAUCUUUUUCUGGGGAUUCCAGAUGGCAGAAAAUUAGGCCCACACUGCUGAGCGGGAUUUGAGUGUGAGAAUCCAAGUACAGAAGCUGAAUUUGGGAAAAUAGUCUUGCUAAAGAAAGUGGCAGAUUUUCCCAAUUCCACAUUUUGGAAGUAUCAAGAGCUGUUUCAUGAGAUAAGCUGGCGAGAGGAAAUAGACUACUCUGGUAGGAAACUAGAGCAGCAGAAUGAAGUUUGAGAUCAUCCCAAAAGAUGUAUGUCUGCACCACAUUUUUCUUGACAGGAGAAAAAGUGACAAGAGCUAAUUAAAGGAAAACAGAAUGUUCUUUUU